This is a long non-coding RNA of Penaeus monodon (black tiger shrimp), 180 nucleotides long. RefSeq lists it as uncharacterized. The transcript has 3 exons. Lineage: Eukaryota; Metazoa; Arthropoda; Malacostraca; Decapoda; Penaeidae. The record is from RefSeq and is a predicted model, not a curated record.
GUCCUUUGUUCCGCGACGACGAGCUCAGUUUGGCUUCAGGUGAUGGAGGUUGCUACUACCAGUUCCAGCACUACGACGAGGGGGACAGGAUUAUCACCAAUGAACCUUGCCUCAACUGUACUUGCCAUAACUCUAUGCUCAUGUGCUACUUGAAGGUAUGUCCAUUCAGCAAGCCUAUCG